Molecule: long non-coding RNA, 511 nt
Organism: Lolium rigidum
Lineage: Eukaryota; Viridiplantae; Streptophyta; Magnoliopsida; Poales; Poaceae
Exons: 3
Source: RefSeq, a predicted model, not a curated record
UAGAUCUUCCCGGCGGCAGUGCUCCGUCCACUGGCCUGCUUCUCAUCCUUUGCCUCCUGGACGAGGCUGCAUAGAAGCUGCAAAGCUCCCAGACCUGUUGCUUCUCCCCUUCGCCAUCUCAUCACCCAAGCAGUCCAUCUGAUUGCUGUUUCCUCAAGUCCUCCGCGUCCGUCAUCGAUGAUCAGAUACAUGCUGCAAGGAGACUCCAGAAUCCCCUUCCCUGUUGCACCCCCGCUUCCUGGCAGGUAUUUUGUGGGGCUCAUGUUCCAUUGUCGAGCAGCCACUUCUCGUUGCAUACUCAAAAGCUGAUACAGACAGUCAGAGACAUUCAGAUAAGUUUUGCAUAAAGGAGGUUUUCACUAAGGACAGAGAUGAGCCUAGACAUCACAUAACAUCUUUUUUUCUAAAAAAAGGUUUAUACUUGUUUUGAAACUGUGAACAAGUUCAUACGUUCCCUCUGUUAGUGACAAAAUAAUAUUGUUUGUCAUUGUCAAUGCAAAACAGAGCACUA